Molecule: ribosomal RNA, 468 nt
Filed under: uncultured bacterium
Lineage: Bacteria
Description: partial 16S ribosomal RNA
Rfam family: Bacterial small subunit ribosomal RNA
Source: RNAcentral
GACGAACGCUGGCGGCGUGCUUAACACAUGCCAGUCGAACGGAAAGGCCCUGCUUUUGUGGGGUGCUCGAGUGGCGAACGGGUGAGUAACACGUGAGUAACCUGCCCUUGACUUUGGGAUAACUUCAGGAAACUGGGGCUAAUACCGGAUAGGAGCUCCUGCUGCAUGGUGGGGGUUGGAAAGUUUCGGCGGUUGGGGAUGGACUCGCGGCUUAUCAGCUUGUUGGUGGGGUAGUGGCUUACCAAGGCUUUGACGGGUAGCCGGCCUGAGAGGGGGACCGGCCACAUUGGGACUGAGAUACGGCCCAGACUCGUACGGGAGGCAGCAGUGGGGAAUAUUGCACAAUGGGCGGAAGCCUGAUGCAGCAACGCCGCGUGCGGGAUGACGGCCUUCGGGUUGUAAACCGCUUUCGCCUGUGACGAAGCGUGAGUGACGGUAAUGGGUAAAGAAGCACCGGCUAACUACGUG